This 3221-nucleotide long non-coding RNA is filed under the name Calidris pygmaea (Spoon-billed sandpiper). RNAcentral describes it as "lncRNA (ENSCPGG00000016718.1)". Lineage: Eukaryota; Metazoa; Chordata; Aves; Charadriiformes; Scolopacidae. The record is from RNAcentral.
GCGGGCUACAUCGCUCUUUAAAUAUCUUCGGGGUGCAGACCAGGCACACCGUUGGCACGACUCCUUUGACUAUCCCUUUGUAAACCCAGCCAUGCUCCAGCACUCCUCAGCAGCCAUACCUUUGUAAGGUUUACUGGUCCUGCCUCCCAGCAGGCCGCCCGGUCCUUGUUUUUUGGGGGGUUUUUUUGUUGUUUUUUUUUUUUUCCUUACCCAUCCCAUUCGGUAAACCGCAUCCUUCUCCCCUGGCUCCAUCCCGAGCCCGGCAGGGUCCAUCCCCGCCAGCAGCAAACCUCCGGUUGCCACAGGGACCACCACCACCUCUCCUCCCCCGGCUCCAAGAGCAGGCUGGAAAAGGGAAAGUCUGCUCAGCGGUGAGGGGCCAGGGGCCAAAACCCCUUCCCCUUAACACGCACCAUCCAGAAGGAACCCCAAACACCGGCGUCCACCGGGACAUCCCACAAGCAGAGCAAAGACACCCAGAAGCACGGGGGACGUGCUGGUUGAGAGGAGGAAGAGCUGCCGAGCCCCUCUCCCUGCUGCAAGGAAAGGAAAAAUAAAAAAACANAAAAAAAAAAAAUUAAAAAAAAAAAAAAAGAGCCUUGCUCUCCCCAUCCCCCACCCGAUCCAUUAAGAGCCGCUGAUGAUAUUUGCUGCUCCUUCCCAGAGGGAAGCAAAGUGUUACAGCGAGAGGAAGAGUCGGUCCAGCCUUCUUACACAACUCAUUAUCACUACAGCCUUUUGUCAGAGUGGAAAGCAGGCCACCAAGUCUAACGUCUCCGCGGACUGGGAAACAGAUGUUUGAAAUGGGAUCUAGGAAACAAUAUACCCAAGCAGUGCUUUUUUUUUGUUUUGUUUUAAAGCUUCAUUAAGUCUCUAGUUGUUGUAUUAUAUAUAUAUAUUUAUAUAUAAAGCUGUGCUCUAUACAAAGCACUUCAAGUAAGAACCAACCCAUUCAGAUGCGAGCCUGCAGAGAGGCUUUUCUACUGCCCACAAGCCAGCGGGACUGUCCACAUCCACUCCUAUAAAGACACUUUGAAUGCCAGUGUUUUGCUAACUAUUUUAAUUGACAUGUGGGAAAGGAGGAGCACAGAGCUGCACAGCUUACUGUUCCUGCUGCAGUUCAGUGCCACUGGGUAGGUACCCCCUCACCAAUUUGUACCUCCAUCCUCUUCUCUCCUCCCCCUUAUUGCCUUGCAGGGGAAAAGGAAUACAUUUUGGGAAUCUUAGCCAAGCUCACAGGCGUUUCGGAUGCAACAAGGUGGAACCAAUAACACAUACACCUGAAUUUUCAACAUCUGCCUGACCAGCUCUCAGUGACAGCUAAUUUUAGUAAUCCACAUGAGUUCUUUGCUGGGUGUAACCACACCAUCUCCUCAAUCUGACAGUUUGCUGAAAAGACUGCUUUUCUAGAGGGCUGGAUAUCAAGGCUUCUGCCAUUCCAAGGACCUGCCCUGCUAAAAAAAAAAAAGAGGUAACACAAGCUACUUUUAUAAGAUAAAAAAAAUAGACAGUUUCAGAAGUAAAAGAACUAUUGCUCUCCAAUCACUGUACACAGCAAAAGUGAGUAGAAGGAGCUGGAACUUGAUGAUAAAGCCUCACACAAGCUGAAUAUGUUUCUUGGGAAGAUGGUAAUAAGCUGGAAGUUGAACAAAAUGCAGAGAGAGAAAUUAGUAACUCAGAGGAAAGCAACAAGUAAGGAGGGCUGAGGCUUGGUUAGAAUAAGUAGGUUAAUAGGGGCACCCAAAUACUAACACAUACAAUCACAGCCCCACUAAAAAACAAUCUAAAGGCCAGGAAAAACACACAAGAAUUAACAAUUGUUCAUUUUCACAGCCACAACCAUAGAUGCUUAUGGUCUUUUUCAACACAAAUAUGCUAAGCAGCGAGUAGCACCAGGUGAUAAUCUUUCCUGGCAACACUAAGAUAUUCAGCUACCAAGACAAGCUGAGUUAUGAAUGUUUGGAGAAGAUCUCACAGCAGUGACUGUCUGGACAACACAAUGAUGGAUGAAACCCUUUCACUAAAAUUCAAAAGUGAGGCACAUGGGGGGAAACAUGGAAAUCACAGCUUCCGAGUUACCUAUUACCAUUCGAAAUAGAGAUCCUGAUACUGUGACAGAUACUUCUGUGAAACUUCUGUGUGCUCAAGUGCAGUGCUAGGAAUUGUUACAAAAGAAGGGGAGAACAGAACAGGAAACAUCACUACACCAUCAUUAUUUAGUCCAGAUGUAUCAUCUGCUUGCAUCUUGAAUGUCACGUGCAGUUCUGGUCUGCUUAGAAGGUGCAAAGUGGGAAUGUCACGUGCAGUUCUGGUCUGCUUAGAAGGUGCAAAGUGGAACUUAAGAAGGCACAGAAAAAUGUAGCAAGGGUGGCCAAAAGCACAAGGAACAGCUAAAUACAUGAAGAUUUUCAUCCCAGGAAGAAGGCAAUUGGGAUGAAAUGCCAAGCAAUAUACUGUAAAGACAAGAGCAGCAUGGAAAGCAUUAUCAGAGAGUGAUUACUCAGUGUUUCUCAGAAGUAGAGGAUAUCAAGUCAAUUUAUCAAACGGAUGCAUCAGAAGACAGCUACUUACUCAUGCAACGCAUUGCCAAACCACAGAACUCACUGCUACAGCACACUGAAGAGGCCAAGAAAUUUACAGGUUUAAGUUUAUUUGUUUUUUUUUAAAAAAAAAAACCAAAAUGAAUGGAAGAAAGUUUAAUCAAAAGCUACUUAACACAAAAGUACUACUUUAGCUAUAUGGUACUUGAAGCUGGAAGAGUGUGCUGAGGAAAUAGCCCUGUAUGUUACUCAAGCCUUCUUCCCUGCAUCCAUGCUACUGGCUAUUUUCAGGGGUAAAGUUUCAAGCUGGUGGACUUUUGGUCUGACACAGCACCACCAUUCCUGUGUAUUUAUCCAGAAUAACAUGCAAAUUGGCACAUACCUACAGAAUUAGUAAAACUGGACAACAUAGCACCAAGGAAUACAGUGCAUAAGCCUGUAAGCAGUUCUGCACUGCAGGCAGUUCUGGCAAAAUUUGAGUCUCUAGUGAAUCAGGGAGUUGUGAGGGGUAGUUGCUCCCUAAGAGACAGAGGGCCCCACACACAACCAGCAGGACAAGGACCUCACUACCCAGUUCCCAGCCCCACUGUACACACACAAGGCAAACAAGACAGACCUAGGGACAGUGUCCAUACUUAGCCAGAAGUUCAGAUAAUAAAUGCACUUUCAGGAGAUGAGGCA